UACGUAGGGGCAAGCGUUAUCCGGAUUUACUGGGUGUAAAGGAGCGUAGGUGGUGUGGUAAGUCAGAUGUGAAAGCCCGGGGCUCAACCCCGGGACGUGCAUUUGUAAACUAGCCAUGCCGGAGUGCAGGAGAGGUAAGUGGAAUUCCUAGUGUAGCGGUGAAAUGCGUAGAUAUUAGGAGGAACACCAGUGGCGAAGGCGGCUUACUGGACUGUAACUGACACUGAGGCUCG
RNAcentral lists this ribosomal RNA (233 nucleotides) under uncultured bacterium. Its description in RNAcentral is "partial 16S ribosomal RNA". It matches the Rfam family "Bacterial small subunit ribosomal RNA", at positions 524 to 755 of the family's 1533-position model. The record is from RNAcentral.